AGUACGGAUCGAGGACACACAGAUUAGAAAGUUGCGGAACAAGGAGAUACCAAUGGUGAAAGUCCUGUGGAACCACCAUAACCUAGAGGAGUGUACCUGGGAGACACGGGAGUCGAUGCUCCAGCAAUACCCAUAUCUGUUUUGAGGUUCGUUAUAGCUCUUUUUUUCCCCUUUUCUAUGUAUUUAUGUGUUUAGUUGUGUGAGGAACAUUCGGGGACGAAUGUUCUUAAGGGGGGAAGAAUGUAAUACCCGGCUCGAGUCCGGCCUCGGAAUUCCUGUCGUCUGGUGGAAUCUCGG
Molecule: long non-coding RNA, 297 nt
Filed under: Manihot esculenta (cassava)
Lineage: Eukaryota; Viridiplantae; Streptophyta; Magnoliopsida; Malpighiales; Euphorbiaceae
Description: long non-coding RNA (MESC_LNC002008)
Source: RNAcentral